UCCUCCCUCAAACCCCCGGGUUUGGUGUUGGACCGCGUUGGGGGGUCUCCCCCAACUGGUCUCAAAGACAAUGACGGCGUCCGUGGGACCCUCUUCGCACUGAGCUUUCCGGAGCACGCGUCGAGUUGCAAGGUCUCGUGGGCCCGGUCCUCCUUUAUCUAUUUUUCA
Molecule: unclassified non-coding RNA, 168 nt
Filed under: uncultured Chaetothyriales
Lineage: Eukaryota; Fungi; Ascomycota; Eurotiomycetes; Chaetothyriales
Description: sequence contains ITS2
Source: RNAcentral